CACACUUCCACAAACCCUUUCUCCUCCAAUUUUCUCCUUCUCUAGAACCUUCAUCCCCUCUUCUCUAACCUAUCAUUCUUGCCUUGAAUCAAGAAGAAAACUCAAAGAUUUCUCCUUCAUCUCUUGAGAAUGAGCUUUCCUUAGGGUUUUUGAGAAGUUUUGAGGAGGUGAGACUUCAACCAAGGGGAAAGAGUCGGUGGAGAAGUAACACCGGGGUGUCUUAGCUCGCCAAGUUUGUGAUAGUAUGGUAGCGGGAUAGAAGCGUGAAGUGCUUGGCAGAGUAGUUUGUAUUUUUUUUAAGCCGUGUAUGAUGCUUAAACAUUCUGGCAUGUAUUUAUUGGAUCCACUAGGAUGUUACCAACCCUAAUAUUAUUAUGUAUCUUUUUUUUUUCUUAGAUACUUUUAUAUAUGUUGGUUAGAUUUAUGUUGGUUAGAUUUAUGUUGUGUAUGAGAAGUAUACUCUCUAUGUGAAUGGUUGUUGUCAUUGUUAUUAUGAACAAAAUGUUAUGAUUA
Molecule: long non-coding RNA, 513 nt
Organism: Dioscorea cayenensis subsp. rotundata (Guinea yam)
Lineage: Eukaryota; Viridiplantae; Streptophyta; Magnoliopsida; Dioscoreales; Dioscoreaceae
Exons: 3
Source: RefSeq, a predicted model, not a curated record